This 824-nucleotide ribosomal RNA is filed under the name Curtobacterium sp. RNAcentral's name for it is "bacterial SSU rRNA". It matches the Rfam family "Bacterial small subunit ribosomal RNA", at positions 73 to 908 of the family's 1533-position model. The record is from RNAcentral. Lineage: Bacteria; Bacillati; Actinomycetota; Actinomycetes; Micrococcales; Microbacteriaceae.
CAGGAGCUUGCUCCUGUGAUUAGUGGCGAACGGGUGAGUAACACGUGAGUAACCUGCCCCUGACUCUGGGAUAAGCGUUGGAAACGACGUCUAAUACUGGAUACGACUGCCGGCCGCAUGGUCUGGUGGUGGAAAGAUUUUUUGGUUGGGGAUGGACUCGCGGCCUAUCAGCUUGUUGGUGAGGUAAUGGCUCACCAAGGCGACGACGGGUAGCCGGCCUGAGAGGGUGACCGGCCACACUGGGACUGAGACACGGCCCAGACUCCUACGGGAGGCAGCAGUGGGGAAUAUUGCACAAUGGGCGAAAGCCUGAUGCAGCAACGCCGCGUGAGGGAUGACGGCCUUCGGGUUGUAAACCUCUUUUAGUAGGGAAGAAGCGAAAGUGACGGUACCUGCAGAAAAAGCACCGGCUAACUACGUGCCAGCAGCCGCGGUAAUACGUAGGGUGCAAGCGUUGUCCGGAAUUAUUGGGCGUAAAGAGCUCGUAGGCGGUUUGUCGCGUCUGCUGUGAAAUCCCGAGGCUCAACCUCGGGCUUGCAGUGGGUACGGGCAGACUAGAGUGCGGUAGGGGAGAUUGGAAUUCCUGGUGUAGCGGUGGAAUGCGCAGAUAUCAGGAGGAACACCGAUGGCGAAGGCAGAUCUCUGGGCCGUAACUGACGCUGAGGAGCGAAAGCGUGGGGAGCGAACAGGAUUAGAUACCCUGGUAGUCCACGCCGUAAACGUUGGGCGCUAGAUGUAGGGACCUUUCCACGGUUUCUGUGUCGUAGCUAACGCAUUAAGCGCCCCGCCUGGGGAGUACGGCCGCAAGGCUAAAACUCAAAGGA